This 313-nucleotide long non-coding RNA is filed under the name Ananas comosus (pineapple). Its description in RNAcentral is "long non-coding RNA (ACOM_LNC030133)". The record is from RNAcentral. Lineage: Eukaryota; Viridiplantae; Streptophyta; Magnoliopsida; Poales; Bromeliaceae.
ACACGAGACACGACACGACUAGAAUAUGGUAACUCGGUAGCUUUCAAAAAAUUAGAACACGGACACGACAUGGACAUCGCUAAUUGCAAUGAUCUCGUUUGUAAUAAUAUUUGUUGUUUCAAAAAAAAAUCAAGUUCCAGUAGUAAAAGAAUAGGGAUUGUUCUCAUCAAGAACCAACAAUUAAUAUAUUUCGUUCGAAUAACCUGUUAGGAUUUGAUUAGAUUUAUAGUCAAAUUCUGGUAAUAUUAGAAUAAAUAUUUAAAUAUAUUAGAGAUAAAUCGAAUGAGAUUAAAUAUCAAUUAGAGUACAAAUC